RNA transcript from Notolabrus celidotus (New Zealand spotty), 5104 nucleotides. It is a transcript of the gene named chromosome 23 C4orf54 homolog, with no coding region annotated. NCBI's taxonomy places the organism in Eukaryota, Metazoa, Chordata, Actinopteri, Labriformes, Labridae. The transcript has 3 exons. The record is from RefSeq and is a predicted model, not a curated record.
CCCGCGGGCCGAGCCAUGAAGAACGAGCAAAGCUGCGUGGAGACAGCAGCAGAUCUCCGCGAGGUCAAAGAUCUGCUCCACAAACUGGCGCGCGGAGGAGAAGAUGCGCCGGAGAAGCAGGACGAGAGCAAAUACGUGGAUUUGGACUUAGUGGACGUGAAGAAAUGUGGCUUAAAACUGGAGAAAGACUGUGGAGCUGAUGAUAAAAACCAAAUGUCUGUCUUUGUUAACAGUGACGGCCCCGAAGCUUCGCGCGCAACGGAGCCAAAGUGUGCCAUAAAAACUGAGAUUGAAAGUGAGAAGAAGGAUUCUUUCAAAGAUGAGAAGUAUACUGAAGAUGUUGUGGGGGAUCUCUAUCAUCACAUAUCUUCAACAGAUCCUUCGGUCGUUAAAGCAAAGUCAGAGGAUUGCUUCAACUCCGGAAACAAAAGCGAGCGCGCCAUUACGCAACCAGAGGAAUCCCAAAGAGAAAAGGAGACAUACCCACAGAAAGAAGAGGAGUUACACUGCAGUGAUAAUUAUCUGAGCGGGAGGAGUGAGUCUGAUGACUUAGAGGAGGAUGAUGAUGUUAGUUUGGUGCUUUCAGAUGACAGUGGCCCGUGCGUAACGGAGGACGAGUCCCACUACAUUACCACUCACGAGAUCCAGCUCACGGAGCUCUCUGACCACGAGGGGGACUACGACCUCGGGGUGGGCUCCUCCACCAGCUGGGACAUCGAGGAUGACAACCAGCAGGUGUACUCUUUUGUCGAUUAUGCCUCAUUUGAUGGUGAUGGAGCGGCGGCGGGGCAGAGGGGGGACGGUCGCCAGCCGAGCACUCAGGACGCAGCAACAGUCAGCACUCUGCUUGAAAGUGAUCCGUGCGACUUGGCCAAGUUUACCAGCUCUGAUGAGAGUGUGUCAAAGCCCCCGCAGGAGCAGCAGCAGGGCAGUGGCAACAGUGCUGGGCAGAUCCACCUGUCAAUCAGAACCACUUCUCGAGCUAUAAAUGACCCCAGCAACAUCCAAGAACAGAAAAAUAUUCUUUAUCAUGCCAGGCGCGCCGGGGACGUGAGUCGCUAUGUGUUUAGGGGAGUUGAUGGGAAGGCUGAGACGCUGUGUGAUAGGGCGAAGUGUUUCAUAGCCGCGCCCGGACGCUUACACUUUGGCCGCAAAUUGAGGGGAAAAGAGGUCAACGAGCACUCCAGCGGUGCGUCCAGCGCUGUCAGCGAGCUGGACGACGCUGACAAGGAGGUGCGCAAUCUGACAGCCAAAGCCUUCAAGAGCCUGGCGUACCCUUACUUUGAUGCCAUUAAUUUCAGCACCUCCAGCGAGUCCUCUGCAUCAGAGCAUGGCUUGGGGAUCAACAGAUGGUCCACGUUUGUCGACCUGAAAUAUGGCAACAUGUCACGGGGACUGGACCCCAGUGUAGUUUCACAACAAAACCCAACGGCAUCUUUUGAAAUAGCCAACAAUGUAGACAGCAGAGGGUAUAAAGGUAUGGCACUUGCAAGCAUCAAACCGGCCACCAACAAGAUCUUCACCCUGAAUGGGAAUCCCCACAGUGCGUCGUCAUCAAAGAAAAUCGAGCUGAUGGGGAAAUUCAGUCAGGGCCACAGUGGGGUGAUCAGACUAACAGAGACUCUGAAUUUCCGCUGUAAUGUCAAAUCUGGAAUGUCUGAGGGAGAAAGGCGCACUAACUUUGCACAAAAUACUGAAGGAUCACGUUCCACAGAUGAAGUUACCAACAGUUUGCCAAGCAGCCAGAGGAGAGGGGCCAGCAAGCCUCCCUCUAACACCAUGGAAGACACACACAAGAAGGCCAUAUUCGCCUCCAGCUUGCUCAAAAAUGUGAUUUCUAAAAAGAUGCAGUUCGAGCAGGAGCGCAAGAUGGAACGAGGGGAGAUAUGUGAGCCGCAUCAGACGCCUUCCCCGAGCUUUGUGCACCCAGACAGCGACAGCUACAGGGGGAAGGGGAGCAGGGAGCUGCACAGACAGAGCUCCAAGUUUUCAGAGUGCAGCUCUGACUACGCCAUAAUGUGCGUGGAUGACUUGGGGGACUUCAUUGACAGCGGCUCAUGUGAUACUAAGAGCGACUCCCGGAGACAGGACCUGGCUGCUCCCGCACCAGAAACUAAUUUGGAGACGACAAAUGAAGCUGGAAUCGAUACUAAAAGAGGCGCAUUGGAAGCGUCCAAAAGCACGCUGCUUCGCAGCCAAAAUAGCGCAUUCAGAUGUUGGAAGGAAGGGGAGGUAGAGUUUCAAAAGGAUCAUAAAAACGAUAAAACUCUAGGGGACAGGCAGCCUUCAGCUCGCAACAAAGAAGGCGAGGAGGAUACGUACUCGUCGGGCGGCAACAAACUGAUUAAAAUGUCACAUUUGUUUGUGCCAAGUAUCCAACUGCUGUCAAGUGACGGAGAAGAGGGGCAGCAGCUGCAGGGCAGGAGUUAUUCUCCAUGUGAGGACAGAGAAGGAAAACUGUGCUCGGACAACACACUUUACAUCGCAGACUCCAGGAGUGUGGUCACAUCGAAAUCUCCAGAAAUCAAAAUUAACUUAAGGAGCGUCAGAGACAAUAAAACUGAGCCGUUCAGCGUCUCCAAGCUGCGCGCUCCUAAUAUAGGCUGUAACCCAGCCAGCCUCAGAACAGAUGACUUCAAAUGCCAGGCUCUGACUGCAGCUCUGAAGGGUGAGUGCUCGGAUAAAGUGCCGCAUUUCAUGGUGAGAGACAUUAGAGAUAAUAAAGGGAAGCUGCAGACGCCCAUUCACCAAGUGAGAGACGUGCGUAAACUCGUUAAAAGCUCCUACCACUUUGUUUCUCUGGAUAACAACGAAAACAAAUCCGCUGCUGACAACCAAUCAGAGCAGAAGAAGCAAAUGCCCUAUCGAAAUCUCAACUCUGUUUCCCCUAUAGUGAUAAAAUGUCAGUCUGUGAACACAAACAGUAACGGGAAACAAGAGGUAUCACAACAAGAGCCGCUGGACUUGGACAGGUCGUCUCCAGAGGGCGCUGUAAGUGCUCAUCUGCAAAGGGCAGCAGGGAGAGCACCAAACACCUCUUCAGAGGGGGGCACUGGGUUGAAAGUCGAGAGCAAAGCAGCUUCAAAGAGGCAGGAGAAACCAUCAGAUAUCACAGAGAAGAAACCUGAAUCAAAGAUGUCAAAUCUGGGGGCUUUGGAGAAACUCCAGGCUGCUGUGAAAACCAUGGAGCAGCUCUACGUGUUUGAAAGGAAUGAAUGGAAGAGGAAGAACGAGCCCCGGCCUCUGAUGGACAGCCAUGUUCUCUCAAUGAUCACCAGCGAGGGGCUCGGAGUACCGGAGGACGAAGAAGCCAGAGGGUCCAUCAUGGAGAGGCCGGCCAGAAGAGACUCCUACCCCAACGCUGACAGGACUCCACCAGCAGUAGCGGCGUCCCCCAACCUGCUGAGGCGAGACGACAGAGCUUUUCAGACUCACGGCAGCCGUGAUGACAAGCUAUUUGCCAAGUCCAUGAAAGCCACCGCCAACGCCACAGGGAACAAGAACAUGUUUAGUCCCAGCUCCAACCUUAAGCCUUCAACAACAAAGACGCCCCAGCCAAACACCACCACACAAUCACCCUUUAACACCAAAAGCUUCACCCCAAAGUCCCCCAAACUGCCUGUGUCCUUAAAGAGCAAGCAGACGAAGCAGGGUGGACACGAGGAAGCUGAAUUUAGGAGGACAGAAAAGUCCUUCCAAGACUUCUUGGGUACCGACAACGAGAACUACUUUACUAUCCCGCUCAAGUCUCCUGCUGGCCCCAACAAACCGGUCUCUUCUGCUGAUAAAACCUCAGUGUACACAUUCACCCCAAUGACACAUCCAGCGGCACCUUCAGGACAGUCUGGUUCCAGCACCAAGAGCCAUGGAGACCGCAACCAGUCCCCGAAACGCACCAGCAUUGUCAUGGAGACACGAUCACCUGAGAUCCCUCCAGCAACCAUCUACCACUCCAUGCCUCUGGGUAUGACUGCGAAUCAGCCACAGUUGUACUGCUUUUCACCUGCAAUCACACCAGCUCCCACUCUGGACCCGUUCCAGGCCACCCAGAGAAAGAUGCUCCUGGAUCCCACUACUGGGAACUACUACCUGGUGGACACUCCUGUGCAGCCAACCACAAAGCGUCUCUUUGACCCUGAAACAGGCCAGUAUGUGGACGUGCCAAUGCCGCAGCCUCCUAUGACCCCAGUUCCCAUGCCAAUGUCACCUUUGGCGCUCAGUCCAGGAGCGUUUGGACACACCUACAUGAUCUACCCGGGCUUCAUGCCAACGCCAUCAGUGAUCCCAGCGAGGACGCUGGUGCAGUCCCAAAUGUCGAUGCACUCAGAGGCUGACAGCGUGGACAAAGCAUCGUCUCAGCAGACAGAGGGUCUGUACAUGGAGAGUCCUUUCUACAUGGCGACAGGAAAGUCUCCCCACAUGGCGUCUGGGAUUCAACAGCAUGUUGGUGCCCCCCCUGCCGCCACCAGCAGGCCAAUGCAGGGCUUCUCCAGCGCCAAGCAGCCGGUCAUCAGCAUCACCUCCCAGCAAGGGCCCCGGAUCAUCGCCCCGCCCUCGUUUGAUGGGACCACCAUGAGCUUUGUGGUGGAGCACAGAUGAGUGGCAGCCUACCUGGACAGGGCUGAGCUCUGAGAGGAUGCUGGACUUCUGGAUCUCUUCGAUCUCAUAUGUUUUAUAUAUUUAUUUUUCGCUCUGGAGAUGAUGGAUCAAGGCUGCUGAGUUAAAGGCCUCAUUCACAUCGUGCUUCAGAUUAUGGAUCUGCUGGACAGUCCAUCCUUCUUCAAAAUUCUGCUGAAAAUGUUCCUCCUCUGAUUUUAAGUUGAUUUAACUUUUUCUUUCAUGUUCGGAAACUUAGUCUUUUAUUCUUUUUUUCAUGAUAACUGCUGUGUCAAAGUUUCAAUAGAAGAGAGCCACUCUUGUGAAAGUGUAUUAGUGUUUUUUUAUCAAAUGUCUCAAAGUAGGAGGUAAUAUAUAUUCACAUUGAUUAUAAAGGGUGUGUUGGUGUUUACAGGAAGCUUUAUGAGCUGUCCUGCAGCCAGCAACCAGGGGGAGAUCUAAAAUAGCUGGCUGUUCACUGAGGCUGUUUUCGAAACUGCCUGCUACA